UUGGGAAGCCCUCGGGUGGAACUGUGAGUAUACUUAGUGGCGGACGGGUGAGUAACGCGUGAGCAAUCUGCCCUGCAAUGGGGGACAACAGUUGGAAACGACUGCUAAUACCGCAUAAGACCACGAAACCGCAUGGUUUAGAGGUAAAAGGAUUCAUUCGAUGCAGGAUGAGCUCGCGUCCCAUUAGAUAGUUGGUGAGGUAACGGCCCACCAAGUCAACGAUGGGUAGCCGACCUGAGAGGGUGAUCGGCCACAUUGGAACUGAGAAACGGUCCAAACUCCUACGGGAGGCAGCAGUGGGGAAUAUUGGGCAAUGGGGGAAACCCUGACCCAGCAACGCCGCGUGAAGGAAGAAGGCCUUCGGGUUGUAAACUUUUGUCCUAUGGGACGAAAAAAAUGACGGUACCAUAGGAGGAAGCUCCGGCUAACUACGUGCCAGCAGCCGCGGUAAUACGUAGGGAGCAAGCGUUGUCCGGAAUUACUGGGCGUAAAGGGUGCGUAGGUGGCCAUGUAAGUCAGGUGUGAAAGACCGGGGCUCAACCCCGGGGUUGCACUUGAAACUGUGUGGCUUGAGUACAGGAGAGGGAAGUGGAAUUCCUAGUGUAGCGGUGAAAUGCGUAGAUAUUAGGAGGAACACCAGUGGCG
RNAcentral lists this ribosomal RNA (645 nucleotides) under uncultured Bacillota bacterium. RNAcentral's name for it is "bacterial SSU rRNA". It matches the Rfam family "Bacterial small subunit ribosomal RNA", at positions 67 to 717 of the family's 1533-position model. The record is from RNAcentral. Lineage: Bacteria; Bacillati; Bacillota.